UACGUAGGGUGCGAGCGUUGUCCGGAAUUAUUGGGCGUAAAGAGCUCGUAGGCGGUGUGUCGCGUCGGCCGUGAAAACCUGGGGCUCAACUCUGGGCGUGCGGUCGAUACGCGCAUCACUUGAGUUCGGCAGGGGAGACUGGAAUUCCUGGUGUAGCGGUGAAAUGCGCAGAUAUCAGGAGGAACACCGGUGGCGAAGGCGGGUCUCUGGGCCGAUACUGACGCUGAGGAGCGAAAGCAUGGGUAGCGAACAGG
This 254-nucleotide ribosomal RNA is filed under the name uncultured bacterium. Its description in RNAcentral is "partial 16S ribosomal RNA". It matches the Rfam family "Bacterial small subunit ribosomal RNA", at positions 524 to 776 of the family's 1533-position model. The record is from RNAcentral.